RNAcentral lists this ribosomal RNA (291 nucleotides) under uncultured Glomeromycotina. RNAcentral's name for it is "partial 28S rRNA". Lineage: Eukaryota; Fungi; Glomeromycota. The record is from RNAcentral.
CAGUCAUGCCGGUGAGAAUCAACUUUGGGGAAAGGGGAUUUUUUUGAACCUAACCUUGAAGUGCACUUCUUCGCUUGGCAGGUUAGCGUCGAUUUUGAACGUCAUAAAAUGAUUGGGGGAAGGUAGCUCUUUCGGGAGUGUUAUAGCCCUUAAUUAAUGUGAUAUUUGGGAUCGAGGAUUGCAACGGAUACCUUUUUAGGCUAGCCGCCUAGCCUCUGAUUCGAUGUCGGAUUAUAGACAGCACGCUGACUAUGAUCUGAUUAUUGGUCAAAAGGUUAGAGUGAGCAUAAA